Molecule: ribosomal RNA, 239 nt
Filed under: uncultured bacterium
Lineage: Bacteria
Description: partial 16S ribosomal RNA
Rfam family: Bacterial small subunit ribosomal RNA
Source: RNAcentral
GCGUUGUCCGGAAUCAUUGGGCGUAAAGAGCGUGUAGGCGGCUCGAUAAGUCUGCUGUGAAAGUCCAGGGCUCAACCCUGGAAGGCCGGUGGAAACUGUCGGGCUAGAGUCCGGAAGAGGCGAGUGGAAUUCCCGGUGUAGCGGUGAAAUGCGCAGAUAUCGGGAGGAACACCAAUGGCGAAGGCAGCUCGCUGGGACGGUACUGACGCUGAGACGCGAAAGCGUGGGGAGCAAACAGG